AUGGCUCUCCAGCUCCUCCCCUCCACCCUCUCCGUCCCCAAGAAGGGGAGCAGCAUGGGCGCGGUGGCGGUGAAGGACACGGCGGCGUUCCUGGGCGUGAGCAGCAAGGCGAAGAAGGCGUCGCUAGCGGUGAGGACGCAGGUGGCCACGGCGCCUUCGCCGGUGACGACGAGCCCGGGCUCGGCCGCGGCGAAGCCGAGCGGCAAGAAGACUCUGCGGCAGGGCGUGGUGGUGAUCACGGGCGCGUCCUCCGGGCUUGGCCUCGCGUCGGCCAAGGCGCUGGCAGAGACGGGCAAGUGGCACGUGGUCAUGGCGUGCCGCGACUUCCUCAAGGCCUCCAAGGCGGCCAAGGCUGCCGGCAUGGCUGACGGGAGCUACACCAUCAUGCACCUCGACCUCGCCUCGCUCGACAGCGUCCGGCAGUUCGUCGACGCGUUCCGCCGCGCCGAGAUGCCGCUGGACGUGCUCGUGUGCAACGCCGCCAUCUACCGCCCCACGGCGCGCACGCCGACAUUCACCGCCGACGGGCACGAGAUGAGCGUGGGCGUGAACCACCUCGGCCACUUCCUGCUCGCCCGCCUCCUCAUGGAGGACCUUCAGAAGUCCGACUACCCGUCCCGCCGCAUGGUCAUCGUCGGCUCCAUCACCGGCAACAGCAACACGCUGGCGGGCAACGUGCCGCCCAAGGCCAGCCUCGGUGACCUCCGCGGGCUCGCUGGCGGCCUCAGCGGCACGUCGGGCUCGGCCAUGAUCGACGGGGACGAGAGCUUCGACGGCGCCAAGGCGUACAAGGACAGCAAGGUGUGCAACAUGCUGACCAUGCAGGAGUUCCACCGGCGGUACCACGAGGAGACCGGCAUCACCUUCUCCUCGCUCUACCCCGGCUGCAUCGCCACCACGGGGCUGUUCCGGGAGCACAUCCCGCUGUUCCGCACGCUCUUCCCGCCGUUCCAGAAGUUCAUCACGAAGGGGUUCGUCUCGGAGGCGGAGUCCGGCAAGAGGCUGGCGCAGGUGGUGGCGGAGCCCAGCCUGACCAAGUCCGGCGUGUACUGGAGCUGGAACAAGGACUCGGCGUCCUUCGAGAACCAGCUCUCGCAGGAGGCCAGCGACCCCGAGAAGGCCCGCAAGGUCUGGGAGCUCAGCGAGAAGCUCGUCGGACUCGCCUGA
Molecule: ribosomal RNA, 1167 nt
Filed under: Triticum aestivum (bread wheat)
Lineage: Eukaryota; Viridiplantae; Streptophyta; Magnoliopsida; Poales; Poaceae
Description: partial small subunit ribosomal RNA
Source: RNAcentral